RNA transcript from Notolabrus celidotus (New Zealand spotty), 6531 nucleotides. It is a transcript of the gene named phosphatidylinositol-3,4,5-trisphosphate-dependent Rac exchange factor 2, with no coding region annotated. Lineage: Eukaryota; Metazoa; Chordata; Actinopteri; Labriformes; Labridae. The record is from RefSeq and is a predicted model, not a curated record. The transcript has 43 exons.
UGGGAGGCUGAACUCAGAUGAAGAGUGUAGGAGUCACAUGGACCCAACUUUCUAACUGGUGUCCAGUCGUUGUCCUCUCCUCAGUGACGCUGCGUGGACGCUGUCUCGUGUUGUUUUGUUUUAAACUUUCUUUCACAUUUUUCCUUUAAAUCGACUUUCCCUGCGUUUCCUCUCAGCAUCCAAACAUUGUUUUUCUACUUUUGGUGGACUUCCCCUGCAGAGACCUGUCGCUUCCUCUACACUACCAUGCUGCAGACUUUACAUUCUCGUCUGUGAUGUGAAAAUUUCUCCAGCUGAAGGAAAAAAGAAGGUUUGAAUGAAUUUAGUCACAAUGACGGAGGAGAGCAGAGGUGAGCACAGAGCUGAAAGCGGGAAGGACCUGGAGAAACAGCUCCGACUAAGAGUCUGCGUCCUAAAUGAACUUUUAAAGACUGAACGGGAUUAUGUUGGGACUCUGGAGUUUCUCUCGGUGUUUCUUCAUCGUCUUAACCUGUAUGCAGCAACCAAAGUCGACAAGAACAUCACAGAGGAAACCGUCAAGGCUUUAUUCUCCAACAUCGAGGAGAUCCUGGCCGUGCACAAAGACUUUCUGUCCAUGGUGGAGGAGCUGCUGCAGCCUGAUCCUCAUGCUCACCAUGAAAUUGGGCGCUGCUUCUUGCACUUUAGGGGCCGUUUCCAGAUUUACGACGAGUACUGCGGGAACCAUGAGAAGGCCCAGAGGCUGCUGCUGGAGCUGAAUAAAAUCAGGAGUGUUCGGACAUGUUUACUGAACUGCAUGUUGCUCGGAGGUAGAAAAAACACAGAGGUCCCGCUGGAAGGUUACCUGGUCGCUCCCAUUCAGAGGAUCUGCAAGUACCCGCUGCUGCUCAGAGAGCUGUUGAAAAGGACCCCAAAGAAGCACAAUGACUACGCCCUCGUGCAGGAGUCUCUGCAGGUGAUGAAGGCUGUGUGCACCAGCAUCAACGAAGCCAAGAGACAGAUGGAGAAGUUGGAGAUUCUGGAGGAGUGGCAGUCCCACAUCGAGGGCUGGGAGGGCUCCAAUAUCACAGAUACAUGCACGGAGAUGCUCAUGCACGGCGUCCUUCUGAAGAUCUCAGCUGGAAACAUUCAAGAAAGGAUUUUCUUCUUGUUUGACAAGCUUCUGGUCUACUGCAAGAAGAAAAACAGGCGUUUAAAAAACAGCAAGACGGCCACAGAGGGUCCUCGAUACCUGUUCAGGGGGAGAAUCAACACGGAGGUGAUGGAGGUGGAAAAUGUGGAUGACGGCACAGCUGACUACCACAGCAGCGGGAACAUAGUAAACAACGGCUGGAAGAUCCACAACACGGCCAAGAACAAAUGGUUCGUCUGCAUGGCCAAGACGCCGGAGGAGAAGCAGGAGUGGCUGGAGGCCAUCAUGAAAGAGAGGGAGCGCAGGAAAAACCUGAGGCUCGGCAUGGAGCAGGACACCUGGGUAAUGGUGUCUGAAAAAGGGGAGAAGCUCUACCACCUCAUGACAAAGGGCAACCUCAUUAAGGACCGGAAACGCAAGCUAACCACCUUCCCCAAGUGCUUCCUGGGAAGUGAGUUUGUGUCUUGGCUGAUGGAAAUCGGUGAGACUGGAAACCCAGAGGAAGGAGUUCACCUGGGUCAAGCUCUGCUGGAGAACGGCAUCAUCCACCACGUCACAGACAAACACCAGUUCAAGCCUGAGCCUGUGCUGUACCGCUUCCGCUACGAUGACGGCACCUACCACCCCAGGAGCGACAUGCACGAUGUCAUUUCAAAGGGUGUUCGGCUCUUCUGCCGUCUCCACAGUCUCUUUACUCCUGUCAUCAGGGAUAAGGACUACCAUUUGCGGACCUACAAAUCAGUAGUGAUGGCCAACAAGUUGAUAGACUGGCUUAUUGCACAGGGGGACUGCAGAACCAGGGAGGAGGCAUUGAUCCUGGGAGUGGAACUGUGCGAUAAUGGCUUCAUGCAUCACGUGUUGGAAAAGAGUGAAUUCAAAGAUGAGCCCCUGCUGUUUCGUUUCUUUGCCGAUGAGGAGAUGGAGGGCUCCAACACCAAACACAAACCCAUGAAGCACGACCUGAAAAUAGUCGAGAACGUCAUCUCAAAGUCCCUCCUGAUAAGGCCCAGCGAUGGAGGCUACGGCUUUACGCUGGAGGAGAGGAAUCGAGUCCCCAUCAUCAAAUCUGUGGAGAAGGGCUCUCCAGCUGAGAUGGCUGGCCUGGAAGUGGGGAAGAAGUUGUUUGCCAUCAAUGGAGAUCUGGUGUUCCUCAGGCCUUUCUCUGAAGUGGAAGUUCUCCUCAGGCAGUGCUUCAACAGCAGAGGGCCCCUCAGGGUGCUGGUUAGCACCAAGCCAAGAGAGACGGUAAAGAUCCCAGACUCGGCUGAGGGGUUGGGUUUCCAGAUUCGUGGAUUUGGUCCGUCGGUGGUUCACGCUGUCGGGAGAGGCACAGUGGCAGCCAUAGCUGGUCUCCACCCGGGCCAAUGCAUCAUCAAGGUGAACGGCAUCAAUGUGAGCAAGGAGAGCCAUGCCAGCGUCAUCGCUCAUGUCACCGCAUGCAGGAAGUACAGACGGCCCACACAGCAAGACACCAUUAAGUGGGUGUACAACAACAGUGAAAGCGCUCAGGAGGACAACCAGAAAACUAACCAGAAACCAAACUCAGAGGAAAACGGAGACGGCUUCGAGUGUAAAGUAGAAGAGGUGAUGGACAAAUUCAACACGAUAGCAAUCAUAGAUGGAAAGAAGGACCAUGUAAGUCUGACAGUAGACAAUGUCCACCUGGAGUACGGAGUGAUGUACGAGUAUGACAGCACGGCGGGAAUCAAGUGUCACGUGCUGGAAAAGAUGGUCGAACCCAAAGGAUUCUUCAGUCUCACUGCUAAGAUCCUGGAGGCACUGGCGCGUAAUGAUGACACGCUGGUGCAGAUGUGCAGCAGGUUAAGUUUCAGCUGUGAUGUGAUCCCCGAGGAGCUGCAGGUACGCUUCAGCGCCAUGUGUGGUGAGAGGAUGGAGCACAUCAACCGGCGUAUCACCAACUAUAGAAAGUUUGCUCGGGUGCUGAAGAACAGAGCAUGGCCCACCUUCAAGCAGGCGAAGGCCAAGGUGUCCCCCCUCCACAGCAGUGACUUCUGCCCUACAAACUGCCAUAUAAAUGUGAUGGAGGUCUCCUACCCGAAGACCACCACCUCUCUAGGUAGUGCCUUUGGUGUGCAGCUGGAUAACAGGAAGAACACGCUGGAGAAGGGAGCACGCAGCAGUGCAGAGCAGGGUAAGCUGAACCCCAUGGUUAACGUCCAGCACACCAUCACAACCAUGGCCGCCCCGUCGGGUCACAGCCUGGGCAGGACAGAGGGUCACGGCCUUCGCUUCCUGCUCCGAGAGGAAGACCUGCUCACGCUGGACGCCUACCAGAAACUUCUUUACAAACUCACCACGGUUGUAAAGGAGAUGGAGACACAUGGGGCCCAUAUUCAUGACCUUUUAUCCUCCAUCACCCACCCUCCAGCGUCAGAGGCGAGGACCCCCGAAAGCUACAUAUCGGCAGAAAGUGAGGGGGAGAAGGGGGAGCGGAACGGGAAGAAAGUGUGCUUUAACGUGGCGGGGGACGAGCAGGAGGACUCCGGACAUGACACAAUCAGCAACAGAGACUCAUACAGUGACUGUAACAGCAACAGAAACUCCAUCGCCUCCUUCACCAGCAUCUGCAGCAGCCACUGCAGCUCCUACGUCCACAGCGAUGAGAUGGACUCAGGUGAUGAGAUGCCCUCCAGUGUGUGGCUGUCACAUGACAAGCAGAAGAAACUCCACAGCUUCCUGGAGCAUCUGUUCAGCCAGGUGGACUCGAUCAGCAGCAUGCUGAGGGGGGCGGUGGUGGCUCGGGCCUUUGAGCAGACCAAGUGUUUCACACCUGGGAGAGGAUUACAAGAGUUUCAGCAGGAGAUGGAGCCAAAAAUAAACUGCACCAAGAAGCUGCGUCUCCACGUCAAGCAGGAUCCCUGGAACCUCCCGAGCAGCGUUCAGAGCCUCACCCAGACCAUCGCGAAAUAUGUAGAAGAGGUGAAGACACGGCUGCUCCUAGUUUUACUGCAGUAUACAGACUCAGAGAUCCAGCUGCGUCGGGAUAUGGUGUUCUGUCAGUCACUCGUUGCGGCUGUGUGUGCCUUCUCAGAGCAUCUACUGGCUGUCCUUAACCAGUUUCAUAAUAUGAGCAGGGAAUCAGACCAGGACAGCUCGGACCCUCAGGACCUCCAGGAAGCCCAGGAAGCUAGCCGCCGAUGGCUGGAGCAGAUUGCUAGUGCUGGGCUGCUCUUCCACUUCCAGUCCCUCCUCUCCCCCAAUCUGACUGACGAGCAGGCCAUGCUGGAGGACACUCAGGUGGCGCUUAUCGAUCUGGAGAAAGUCACUUUCUACUUCCAGCAAUUUGAAGGGGAGCCUCUUGUGGCAAACAUGCCCGUGUCUUACCAGGUUGAAGGCAAUCGUCAGACCUUAAAGGUUUGCUUUUACCUGGAGAGUUUCUACUUCUCCCAGCUGCCUCACAGGCUGAGGAAUGGAGGAGGUAUCAAAAUCUAUCCAGUGCUCUUCACACAAGCGCUGGAGAGUAUGGAGGGUUACUACUACAGAGACAAUGUGUCAGUGGAGGAAUACCAGGCCCAGAUCAAUGCUGCCUCACUGGAGAAGGUCAAACAGUACUACAAGAGACUGAGAUAAGCAAAUGUUCUCAGAUGGAGCAGAGUUUUUGCAGAUAAAGGGAGGCCGACUCCUCUGAGACUGAUUCUAUUAUAGUCCUGAAAGAUAAAGGUCCGAGCAGCACACUGCUGGAUUACUGAGAUUUGAUGGAGUCAGAGACUGCUGAGUUUGCACCAGUAGCCCUCCACCUCAGAUGGACUCAUUGCGGCAUAAGUCCGUCCUCUGAGUCUGCAUUAGGGACACCAGUGCAGUGCUGCCCCCAGCGGACAAAGCCGGGAAAAUCACCUCCAAAUGGGCCGUGCUCCAUGAAUGAAUGAGGCAGUGGCAUUUGGAGUGAUGCCCAGGACAAGAGAUGCUUAUUCUGUGUUUCUGCUGAGCUGUGCCCAACUUACUCUCAUGAUUGAUAGUCAGAUGUUGGAGCUCCAUUAUGAGCAGGUGGCCUAGUUUUCCCAGAAAGGCAGCCAAUGCUAUGAUGACCUAAUGAUGCAGGGAAAGUGACGCCAUAGUAUGUUCAUCAAGCAGCGGAGCCUCUGGAUAACAAACAGGCUUUCUACCUGGAUCAGUCCAACAUGCCGCCCAGCUCUGCCCCCAAAGCUGCCCUCAUAGAUAAGCUGAUGCGUCCUCUUAACGCCAUGGAGGAGCUGUACCGCCUGAUGGAGAGCUUUAUCAGUUGUCGCCGCACCGCUGCCUGUCAGUACACCGCCUGUGGGGCUUCUGGAGUGGGGCUGCUCACGGUGGCCUCUGAGCUCUGCUCGCGUCUCGGCGCCACACACAUCGUCAUGUGCAACAGUGGCGUUCAUCGCUGCACUCUGAGUGUGACACUGGAGCAAGCCAUCCUGCUGGCCCGAAACCACGGCCUGCCUCCUCGCUGCAUCAUGCAGGCCACGGAUGUCAUGAGGAAACAGGGUGCAAGAGUUCAAAAUUCUGCCAAGAAUCUGGGUGUGAGGGAUCGAACGCCAUCAUCAGUACCAAGGUUGUACAAGCUCUGCCAGCCUCCACCCCCGGAUGGUGAACCAUAAUGUGUCUUAUCUAGGAUGAUGAUGAAGAUGUCUUGAGGAGCUUUGAGCUACCUUUCACAUGUAGAAUCCUCCCUCCAGCCAUGAAGGAUCAACCUAAUGAAAGACAGUUACUGCAUCCAAUUUUGUACGUCGAGUAGCAGCCUUAAGUGUAAAUAAAGAUGUCAAACCGUAAAUAGUAUUUUUAAUACUUUAUAUUUUCCACUGUUGUACUUUAUAUGUUUUUUAAUUUGUUUUCAUAUAAUGCAUCUGACAAGACAAUGCUUUAUGGGGGGAAAUGUUGUAUGCCCUUAGAUUGCAGAAUCCCAUUACUGCGAUGUCUGCGUAUAAUGGACUGAAAAUGUUUGUUUUCAUGAGGGACAUUUGCAUUUUAUGGUUUUAGUUUCACAAGCAGAUAAAAUAAGCCUAUGUAUUGCGAUAGCAUAAGCCACCAAUUUUUUUCUGCUUUGCUUCAGCUGUAAUGUUGAUGCUUUUAUCCAUCCUCUUAGUGUUGGGUAACAUUAAUGAGUCUGUGUUUUUUAAUGUCCCUCUUUUGUCUAUUUUUAUGUAAAUAUACAUAUUUAGUGUGUGAAUGUGCUAAAAUAUCAUGCUGUCUCUUGAUUUCUAGGACUGUUACAUGCAUGCAUAUGAAGAAUUUCAAUCAGUAUUAACAUAUAGUAGAUUUAUGGAAGUCGAGAUAUGAGAUAUAUUGUUAUUUUAUGAUGACAGUACUCAGGAUUUAAGCGUCUGUGUGUUACUUAUUAAUGGAUGUAUCAUUGUAGAUGGAUGUGUAGCUCACCACUAUGCAAUGAAACAGUUAUAAAGUGAGUAAUAAACUGAAACAAUAAGCUCCAA